Misgurnus anguillicaudatus (oriental weatherfish) is the source of this 1497-nucleotide non-coding RNA. NCBI's taxonomy places the organism in Eukaryota, Metazoa, Chordata, Actinopteri, Cypriniformes, Cobitidae. The record is from RefSeq and is a predicted model, not a curated record.
AAUGAACUACCUUUCCCAUAAUGCAACUGGUCAUGAUCAGGAACUUCCGCGAAAUUCAAACCCCCACUGUGUACUGGACGAAGGACACGCGAUCUUUUGUCUUGUGGAGUUUUAUAUAACACAGUAAGUAAGAGACGCAACAUGCAUGACGGGGAUGAUAAAAUAAUCAAUAAGAAGUUUGAAUCUUUAAAUGAAUGCUGAACCCCAAAGAAGCCAAACGAAGAUUAGAUGUUUUCUGUACUAAACCACAAAUCAGCAUUUGCUGGUAAUCAUAACAGUUACAAAGUGACUCAUUCAUUCCAACUAUUUAUAUCUUAGUAAAACAAUGUUUUUGAUAUUCUAGAAAGGCAUGUAUUCAAGUUUUAGCUUAAUAAAGAUGGUUUACUAUGAUCUCUUAUUCUCUUCAGUCCUGGUCAGUGCAGUUUACAAGACUGUGUUGUUAAAAGGCCAGAUUUAUUUGCUUUAUUUUAUGGUGUAACAUAACCAACCCCACUUGAAGAAUAACCACAUGCUUUUGUAAAGAAUUUAAUAUGCAAGCAUUUUGUAUGUGUUUGUUUUAAUCUUUUAUUUUACAGUAUAAAGUUUAAUUAUAUUUGCAUUUUGUUUGCAGAAGUCAUGUACCACACUUUGUCAACAAUAAAUGUUGUUUCUGCAAUCUGGAUAAAGAAUAAUAUAUUACUGCCUCUUGGAGAACAGCCGGCCGUACUCCAGACAGAGACAAAGACGUGAGGACAUCUAUUGCUUUUAAGUCAUGUACCACACUUUGUCAACAAUGCAUGUUGUUCCUGCAAUCUGGAUGAAGAAUAAUAUAUUACUGCCUCUUGGGAAAACAGCAGACUGUACUCCAGACAGAGACAAAGACGUGAGGACAUCCAUUGCUUUUAAGUCCUAUACCAGACUAUGUUGUUCCAGCUGUCUGGGUAAAGACUGAUACAUUACUGCCUCUUGGAGAACAGCAAACCAUUCUCCAGACAGAGACAAAGACAUGGACAUCAAAACAGAAAAUUAAGUACUUGAUCUUGGAUUGUUUGGAGUGAACGCUGGGAAAUAAUGAAGCAGGAAAUUGACUAAAACAAUUUUUGUACUUGGCUGUAAGAAGUCCUUUGUGUGCACAGACAUGACUGGAGAUUAAAGUUACUAAAUGUUGCUUUUUUUCUAGCUGGUGACAUAACAUGGUAUUAUUUUCAAAUGUAUUUAUCUAAUACACAUUUGCACAUCUGUAAACAUUCAUUUUAUAUAGGAUGUUUUUUAUAUUUAACCAGUUGUUGUAUAUUGCUUUCUGUUAUUACAUCUGUUUUUUUUUUUGCCUGUUUAUUGUUUAAAACAAUUAAGUUAAUGUUUCUCUGUUAGCUUUUAUGUUACUUUGGCUAUUUCUUUGCUUUUAUUUGAUCCUUCUACUGUUAUUUGUUUAUUUGGCAGAACAUUUGACAUUUCAUUUAUUUUGCUGUUAUCUGAAAUUAUCCUUGUCACCAUCAAUAAAACUCUAUAUUUGCUUUA